AUUGAACGCUGGCGGCAUGCUUUACACAUGCAAGUCGAACGGUAACAGGCCUUCGGGUGCUGACGAGUGGCGAACGGGUGAGUAAUGCAUCGGAACGUGCCCAGAGGUGGGGGAUAACGCAGCGAAAGCUGUGCUAAUACCGCAUGUGAUCUGAGGAUGAAAGCGGGGGACCAGGCAGCAAUGUUUUGCCUCGCGCCUUUGGAGCGGCCGAUGUCAGAUUAGGUAGUUGGUGGGGUAAAGGCCUACCAAGCCGACGAUCUGUAGCUGGUCUGAGAGGACGACCAGCCACACUGGGACUGAGACACGGCCCAGACUCCUACGGGAGGCAGCAGUGGGGAAUUUUGGACAAUGGGCGCAAGCCUGAUCCAGCAAUGCCGCGUGCGGGAAGAAGGCCUUCGGGUUGUAAACCGCUUUUGUACGGAACGAAAAGGCUCUGGCUAAUACCUGGGGCUGAUGACGGUACCGUAAGAAUAAGCACCGGCUAACUACGUG
Molecule: ribosomal RNA, 492 nt
Filed under: uncultured bacterium
Lineage: Bacteria
Description: partial 16S ribosomal RNA
Rfam family: Bacterial small subunit ribosomal RNA
Source: RNAcentral